Molecule: ribosomal RNA, 481 nt
Filed under: uncultured anaerobic ammonium-oxidizing bacterium
Lineage: Bacteria
Description: bacterial SSU rRNA
Rfam family: Bacterial small subunit ribosomal RNA
Source: RNAcentral
UUUUCGCAAUGCCCGAAAGGGUGACGAAGCGACGCCGCGUGGGUGAGGAAGGCCCUCGGGUUGUAAAGCCCUGUCAGGAGUUAAGAAAUGUAGGUACGCUAAUAUCGUACUUAUUUGACAAAGGCUCCAAAGGAAGCCACGGCUAACUCUGUGCCAGCAGCCGCGGUAAUACAGAGGUGGCAAGCGUUGUUCGGAAUUAUUGGGCGUAAAGAGCACGUAGGUGGAUUUGUAAGUCAGAUGUGAAAGCCUUCUGUUCAACGGGAGAAUUGCAUCUGAAACUACAAACCUUGAGUGUAGGGGGGGAGAAUGGAACUUCUGGUGGAGCGGUGAAAUGCGUAGAUAUCAGAAGGAACGCCGGCGGCGAAAGCGAUUCUCUGGCCUAUUACUGACACUCAGUGUGCGAAAGCUAGGGGAGCAAACGGGAUUAGAUACCCCGGUAGUCCUAGCCGUAAACGAUGGGCACUAAGUAGAGGGGUUUUAA